RNAcentral lists this ribosomal RNA (447 nucleotides) under uncultured bacterium. RNAcentral's name for it is "bacterial SSU rRNA". It matches the Rfam family "Bacterial small subunit ribosomal RNA", at positions 328 to 792 of the family's 1533-position model. The record is from RNAcentral.
CGACCAGACUCCUACGGGAGGCAGCAGUGGGGGAUAUUGCACAAUGGGGGAAACCCUGAUGCAGCGACGCCGCGUGAGUGAAGAGGUAUUUCGGUAUGUAAAGCUCUAUCAGCAGGGAAGAAGAAAGACGGUACCUGACUAAGAAGCCCCGGCUAACUACGUGCCAGCAGCCGCGGUAAUACGUAGGGGCAAGCGUUAUCCGGAUUCACUGGGUGUAAAGGGAGCGUAGACGGCCAUGCAAGCCUGGAGUGAAAGCCCGGGGCCCAACCCCGGGACUGCUCUGGGAACUGUGCGGCUGGAGUGCGGGAGGGGCAGGCGGAAUUCCUAGUGUAGCGGUGAAAUGCGUAGAUAUUAGGAGGAACACCAGUGGCGAAGGCGGCCUGCUGGACGAUGACUGACGUUGAGGCUCGAAAGCGUGGGGAGCAAACAGGAUUAGAUACCCUAGUA